Molecule: ribosomal RNA, 420 nt
Filed under: Oribacterium sp. oral taxon 372
Lineage: Bacteria; Bacillati; Bacillota; Clostridia; Lachnospirales; Lachnospiraceae
Description: bacterial SSU rRNA
Rfam family: Bacterial small subunit ribosomal RNA
Source: RNAcentral
GAUGAACGCUGGCGGCGUGCCUAACACAUGCAAGUCGAACGGAGUCCAGCCUUUAAGACCUUCGGGUCAAAGAGGGGAAGACUGAGUGGCGGACGGGUGAGUAACACGUGGGCAACCUGGCUCAUAGAGGGGGAUAACAGAGAGAAAUUUCUGCUAAUACCGCAUAAGCACACACUGCCGCAUGGCAGAGGGUGAAAAGAGAAUCGCUAUGAAAUGGACCCGCGUCUGAUUAGCCAGUUGGCAGGGUAAGAGCCUACCAAAGCGACGAUCAGUAGCCGAUCUGAGAGGAUGAACGGCCACAUUGGGACUGAGACACGGCCCAAACUCCUACGGGAGGCAGCAGUGGGGGAUAUUGCACAAUGGGGGGAACCCUGAUGCAGCGACGCCGCGUGAGUGAAGAAGUAUUUCGGUAUGUAAAGC